Molecule: transfer RNA, 72 nt
Filed under: Phrynosoma platyrhinos (Desert horned lizard)
Lineage: Eukaryota; Metazoa; Chordata; Lepidosauria; Squamata; Phrynosomatidae
Description: tRNA-OTHER
Source: RNAcentral
GGUAGCAUGGCAUAGUGGUUUGAGUGUUGAACUAAGACUCUGGAGACCAGGGUUCAAUCCCCUGCUCAGUCA